This 1230-nucleotide ribosomal RNA is filed under the name Microporus affinis. RNAcentral's name for it is "partial large subunit ribosomal RNA". It matches the Rfam family "Eukaryotic large subunit ribosomal RNA", at positions 46 to 1116 of the family's 3401-position model. Lineage: Eukaryota; Fungi; Basidiomycota; Agaricomycetes; Polyporales; Polyporaceae. The record is from RNAcentral.
UUCCGGGGUAGAACUAACAGGAUUCCCCUAGUAACUGCGAGUGAAGCGGGAAAAGCUCAAAUUUAAAAUCUGGCGGUCUUUGGCCGUCCGAGUUGUAGUCUGGAGAAGUGCUUUCCGCGCUGGACCGUGUAUAAGUCUCUUGGAACAGAGCGUCAUAGAGGGUGAGAAUCCCGUCUUUGACACGGACUACCAGUGCUUUGUGAUGCGCUCUCAAAGAGUCGAGUUGUUUGGGAAUGCAGCUCAAAAUGGGUGGUAAAUUCCAUCUAAAGCUAAAUAUUGGCGAGAGACCGAUAGCGAACAAGUACCGUGAGGGAAAGAUGAAAAGCACUUUGGAAAGAGAGUUAAACAGUACGUGAAAUUGCUGAAAGGGAAACGCUUGAAGUCAGUCGCGUCUGCCGGAACUCAGCCUUGCUUUUGCUUGGUGCAUUUUCCGGUUGACGGGCCAGCAUCGAUUUUGACCGUCGGAAAAGGGCUAGGGAAAUGUGGCACCUUCGGGUGUGUUAUAGUCUCUAGUCGCAUACGACGGUUGGGAUCGAGGACCGCAGCGCGCCGCAAGGCAGGGGUUCGCCCACUUUCGCGCUUAGGAUGCUGGCAUAAUGGCUUUAAACGACCCGUCUUGAAACACGGACCAAGGAGUCUAACAAACCUGCGAGUGUUUGGGUGGUAAACCCGAGCGCGUAAUGAAAGUGAAAGUUGAGACCUCUGUCGUGGAGGGCAUCGACGCCCGGACCUGACGUUCUCUGAAGGAUCCGCGGUAGAGCAUGUUUGUUGGGACCCGAAAGAUGGUGAACUAUGCCUGAAUAGGGUGAAGCCAGAGGAAACUCUGGUGGAGGCUCGUAGCGAUUCUGACGUGCAAAUCGAUCGUCAAAUUUGGGUAUAGGGGCGAAAGACUAAUCGAACCAUCUAGUAGCUGGUUCCUGCGAGUUCUCCUACUGCGGGGAGCCCACCCCGCUUAUAAAAAGGGUUCGGAUAUAGUCUUUUCCGCCCCAUAUACCCAAAUUUUGAGCAAAUCGAGUUUGUGCGCUCGGAAAUAGUUACGAGCAUCCACCAGCAGUUUCUUCCUGGGCGUUCACCUAUUCAUGCAUGAGAUUACCAUCUUCGGUCAACAACAUGAUCUACGCGGAUCUUCAGAGAACGUCAGAUCGAGGUCAGCCUCCCGGAAGAGUCGACUUACUUCCUUACGCCGUCGUACAGACCUCAGCAGUGAACCUGGCCCGCUUUCAGAAAGAA